Molecule: ribosomal RNA, 495 nt
Filed under: uncultured bacterium
Lineage: Bacteria
Description: bacterial SSU rRNA
Rfam family: Bacterial small subunit ribosomal RNA
Source: RNAcentral
ACUCAAAUGAAUAGACGGGGACCCGCACAAGCAGCGGAGCAUGUGGUUUAAUUCGAAGCAACGCGAAGAACCUUACCAAGACUUGACAUUUCGUGACAGGUAUGGAAACAUAUCCUCCCUUCGGGGCACGAGGACAGGUGGUGCAUGGUUGUCGUCAGCUCGUGUCGUGAGAUGUUCGGUUAAGUCCGGCAACGAGCGCAACCCUUAUGAUAUGUUGCCAAUAUUAAGUUAGGAACUCAUAUCAGACUGCCGUGGAUAACACGGAGGAAGGUGGGGAUGACGUCAAAUCAUCAUGCCCCUUACGUCUUGGGCUACACACGUGCUACAAUGGGCGCUACAAAGAGCAGCAAAACCGUGAGGUCAAGCGAAUCUCAAAAAAACGCUCUCAGUUCGGAUUGAAGGCUGAAACCCGCCUUCAUGAAGUCGGAGUUGCUAGUAAUCCCAAAUCAGAAUGUUGGGGUGAAUGCGUUCCCGGGUCUUGUACACACCGCCCGU